This is a small nuclear RNA of Artibeus jamaicensis (Jamaican fruit-eating bat), 111 nucleotides long. NCBI's taxonomy places the organism in Eukaryota, Metazoa, Chordata, Mammalia, Chiroptera, Phyllostomidae. The record is from RefSeq and is a predicted model, not a curated record.
UGGAUACCUUCUGGACAGAUCUUUAAUACUAAAAUUGGAAUUAUACAGAGAAAAUUAGAAUGGCCCCUGCACAAGGAUGACACACAGAUUCAGAAAGUGGUUCAUAUAGUU